UAGGGAAUCUUCCACAAUGGGCGAAAGCCUGAUGGAGCAACGCCGCGUGUGUGAUGAAGGGUUUCGGCUCGUAAAACACUGUUGUAAGAGAAGAAUGACAUUGAGAGUAACUGUUCAGUGUGUGACGGUAUCUUACCAGAAAGGAACGGCUAAAUACGUGCCAA
Molecule: ribosomal RNA, 164 nt
Filed under: uncultured bacterium
Lineage: Bacteria
Description: partial 16S rRNA
Rfam family: Bacterial small subunit ribosomal RNA
Source: RNAcentral